UUAUGGGUAUGGUUAUUUGUUGCUUGUGCUUAUGGAACUAUUUAGUGCUAUCUACUCUUGGGUCAAUAUGGUUGCUCUAUGUCGAUUGAAGGAUAUUACUUAGUUUGGCUAUUCGGUAUCUUCAGAACUUGCUCCUACACUACGAGUAGGGAGGUUAUCCUGUUGGCCAUUGAAGGUCGAUGAGCUCUACGGCAGCCUCCUUCCUUUGGCUUUCAGAGCUCUGUUCCAUGUUGGUUGAGAUUAUGGAUG
Molecule: unclassified non-coding RNA, 249 nt
Filed under: Hevea brasiliensis (rubber tree)
Lineage: Eukaryota; Viridiplantae; Streptophyta; Magnoliopsida; Malpighiales; Euphorbiaceae
Source: RNAcentral